AGAGUUUGAUCCUGGCUCAGGACGAACGCUGGCGGCGUGCCUAAAACAUGCAAGUCGAACGAGGGAGCAAUCCCUAGUGGCGAACGGCGGAGUAAUACAUGAACAACGUGCCCUAAAGUCCGGGACAAACGCAGAAAUGCCAUAAAUACCGGAUGUGGUCCAGACCUGGCAUCAGGAUUGGAUUAAACGGUUUUUCGCUUUAGGAGCGGUUCAUGGCCUAUCAGGUAGUUGGUGGGGUAAUGGCCUACCAAGCCGACGACAGGUAGCGGGUCUGAGAGGAUGAUCCGCUCGAGUGGGACUGAGACACGGCCCACACACCUACGGGUGGCAGCAGUUGGGAAUCUUGCACAAUGGGGGAAACCCUGAUGCAGCGACGCCGCGUGGAGGAUGACGGAUCUAGGUCUGUAAACUCCUUUUUCAUGGAAAGACUUAGGACGGUACCAUGAGA
This 448-nucleotide ribosomal RNA is filed under the name uncultured bacterium. RNAcentral's name for it is "bacterial SSU rRNA". It matches the Rfam family "Bacterial small subunit ribosomal RNA", at positions 8 to 485 of the family's 1533-position model. The record is from RNAcentral.